ACUGCUGUUAAAAACUGAGACAUGCCAUUGUGAAAGCUUGAUAGAGAAAAAUAGCAACUGAUGGCCUUCUAGAAGCCUCCUGUGAACUCUUCAGGCAACUGAUUUCUGAGCAUGGACCAAGGCCAGAAGGGCUUUACAACUCCACAGAAUCUGCAUGUUUAGAGAGUGCAUAUCAGUUUUUAUUGAGAGGCAACAGCUUUUGGGUUUGCUAAUGUUCCCAUAAGAUGUGGGUCAGAUUCCCAGAGAUGCCCAAUACUGAUGCCAAAGAAAGUCGGGAGACUCGCGAGGGACUUAAAGAGACAGCACAACUUUUCCAGGCCCCGGGUUACACUGUGGUGAUGCCAGGAUAAUCAGACCAGCCUCUGGAGACCCUCCCCACUAGGCAACAGCUGUCCCUCAUCCUCCCAGCUCUGUUCCCAUCUGUGCCUGGGGAAGUGA
RNAcentral lists this long non-coding RNA (438 nucleotides) under Macaca mulatta (Rhesus monkey). RNAcentral describes it as "lncRNA (ENSMMUG00000062672.1)". Lineage: Eukaryota; Metazoa; Chordata; Mammalia; Primates; Cercopithecidae. The record is from RNAcentral.